This is a non-coding RNA of Podarcis lilfordi (Lilford's wall lizard), 73 nucleotides long. NCBI's taxonomy places the organism in Eukaryota, Metazoa, Chordata, Lepidosauria, Squamata, Lacertidae. The record is from the annotation of a GenBank genome assembly.
GCCUGGAUAGCUCAGUUGGCAGAGCAUGAGACGCUUAAUCUCAGGGUCGUGAGUUUGAGCCCCAUGUUGGGCA